AGGACGAACGCUGGCGGCGUGCCUAACACAUGCAAGUCGAGCGGGGACAUGCGACGGAGUCGAAGUUUCGGAUGGAGACAAAGAUGUAUUGUUCUAGCGGCGGACGGGUGAGUAACGCGUGAGCAACCUGUCCCUUACAGGGGGAUAACACAGCGAAAGUUGUACUAAUACCGCAUAAGACCACAGAGUGACAUCGCUCAGGGGUCAAAGGAGCAAUCCGGUAAGGGGUGGGCUCGCGUCCGAUUAGAUAGUUGGUGAGGUAACGGCCCACCAAGUCGACGAUCGGUAGCCGACCUGAGAGGGUGAUCGGCCACAUUGGGACUGAGACACGGCCCAAACUCCUACGGGAGGCAGCAGUGGGGAAUAUUGGGCAAAUGGGGGAAACCCUGACCCAGCAACGCCGCGUGAGGGAAGAAGGUUUUCGGAUCGUAAACCUCUGUCCUUGGUGAAGAGGAAGAGACGGUAGCCAAGGAGGAAGCCCCGGCUAACUACGUGCCAGCCGCGGC
Molecule: ribosomal RNA, 506 nt
Filed under: uncultured bacterium
Lineage: Bacteria
Description: bacterial SSU rRNA
Rfam family: Bacterial small subunit ribosomal RNA
Source: RNAcentral